CCCUUAGAUGUUCUGGGCCGCACGCGCGCUACACUGAGCCCUUCAUCGAGUUUACAACCUUGGCCGGUAGGUCUGGGUAAUCUUCUCAAAGGGGCUCGUGCUGGGGAUAGAUUAUUGUAAUUUUUAAUCUUCAACGAGGAAUUCCUAGUAAACGCAAGUCAACAGCUUGCAUUGAUUACGUCCCUGCCCUUUGUACACACCGCCCGUCGCUACUACCGAUUGAAUGGCUUAGUGAGCCCGAGGGACUGUUGCACCUAGAGGGUUUUCUCUCCAGGAGCAGCCGGGAACUCGGUCAAACUUGAUCAUUUAGAGGAAGUAAAGGUCGUAACA
Molecule: ribosomal RNA, 330 nt
Filed under: uncultured eukaryote
Lineage: Eukaryota
Description: partial 18S ribosomal RNA
Rfam family: Eukaryotic small subunit ribosomal RNA
Source: RNAcentral